UACGUAGGGUCCGAGCGUUGUCCGGAAUUACUGGGCGUAAAGAGCUCGUAGGUGGUUUGUCGCGUUUGUCCGUGAAAACUCACAGCUUAACUGUGGGCGUGCGGGCGAUACGGGCAGACUUGAGUACUGCAGGGGAGACUGGAAUUCCUGGUGUAGCGGUGAAAUGCGUAGAUAUCAGGAGGAACACCGGUGGUGUAGACGGCUCUCUGGACCGUAACUGACGCUGAGACACGAAAAGCGUGGGUAGCAAACAGG
RNAcentral lists this ribosomal RNA (255 nucleotides) under uncultured bacterium. RNAcentral's name for it is "partial 16S ribosomal RNA". It matches the Rfam family "Bacterial small subunit ribosomal RNA", at positions 524 to 776 of the family's 1533-position model. The record is from RNAcentral.